CCUACGGGCGGCUGCAGUGGGGAAUAUUGCACAAUGGGGGAAACACUGAUCCAGCGACGCCGCGUGAGUGAAGAAGUAAUUCGUUAUGUAAAGCUCUAUCAGCAGGGGAGAAAAUGACGGUACCUGAGUAAGAAGCCCCGGCUAACUACGUACCAGCAGCCGCGGUAAUACGUAGGGGGCAAGCGUUAUCCGGAUUUACUGGGUGUAAAGGGAGCGUAGACGGGAGUGCAAGUCAGGAGUGAAAGGCGGGGGCUCAACCCCCGGACUGCUCUGGAAACUGUAAGGCUGGAGUGGAGGAGAGGUAAGCGGAAUGCCUAGUGUAGCGGUGAAAUGCGUAGAUAUCAGGAGGAACACCAGUGGCGAAGGCGGCUUACUGGACUGUAACUGACGUUGAGGCUCGAAAGCGUGGGUAGCAAACAGGAUUAGAUACCCUAGUAGUC
RNAcentral lists this ribosomal RNA (440 nucleotides) under uncultured bacterium. RNAcentral describes it as "partial 16S ribosomal RNA". It matches the Rfam family "Bacterial small subunit ribosomal RNA", at positions 338 to 795 of the family's 1533-position model. The record is from RNAcentral.